Long non-coding RNA from Helianthus annuus (common sunflower), 1255 nucleotides. RefSeq lists it as uncharacterized. Lineage: Eukaryota; Viridiplantae; Streptophyta; Magnoliopsida; Asterales; Asteraceae. The transcript has 7 exons. The record is from RefSeq and is a predicted model, not a curated record.
UUUAAACAUUUAUCUUCUUCACCUCUUUAUUCUAUCACAUUGUAAACCCUAGCCUCCACCUAAAAGAAACACACAUAACCUGCAUAUAUCGAGAUCGAGAGACAGAGAGAGCCGAAGGAGAGAGAAAUGGCUGGUUGAAGAGGACGUGAAAGAGAUGAAGGGCCGACCACCUUGCCGGCGGCUCCCCUGGCCAAUAACGGGGAUGAACCAUCUCCGGUGAUCCCUUCAACCAACCAACGGUACUGGUUGUUGUGGUGAACUUUAAUGGCGGCGAGAAGGUGGGUGGUGGUUCAUUUAGGGUGGCUGCGGCGGGUGGAGCCCCGCGAUAUUCCGGCAAGGCUGCAGAUAACCCGGUUCCACGACUUCAGCAAUACCGAUUGUGGUGGUUUUGAAGACAGAAACAAAAUUGAUAGCUUGGCGUCCAAUGGAGCCCAUGAACUCAACAGUUGUAACCUAAGUGCCAAUGGAAGCUACUGGCUAAAUAAAUAUCCACGAUACUCAUUUUUUUGUAACGCGUAUUACCAAAAUUUGACGAGCUUCGUAUAAACACUAAACGAUGAAUUUUACACGCGAUUUGUAGUUACAGCUAAAGGGAUUGGGCUAGUGGUGUGAAAAAUAUGUGAUGGACUGAAGUUGAGCUUUUAAAGGGAGUGGGCUAGUACAACUUCAAUGGACUUUUUUAUUAGAGAACCAAAAUCACUUAUUGAAGAAGAAAAACGACCUUUUCGAACAUGAUGAGUUUCUUAAAGAGUUCUAAUAAGAAGGUUAGACGUUAUAUCAUUUAGUACCUUUUCGACUACAACUGGUGACUACACAAAGAAAUAUGAAUUAGAAAGUAAGUUUUCAGCAUGUUGUUCAUCAUUCAUAAUUCAUAACUGAAGGCUUUGGUGGUGACUGGUUCAUGCUUGCUGUUUUCAGAAAAGAAAAAUGCGAAAUGAUUCGGUUUACACAUUAUCGGGCAAACGAUGGAAGGAGGAAGAAGAGAGCAAAGAUGGAAGGACCCCAUGGAUGCAAUCUGAAAGGAAAAAAAAAAGGAAAUAAGAAAGGUGGACUUGAGAAACAGCCGCAAUUUAUGGGUUUAAUUAGCUGUAGUUUUUUAUGGUCCGGAUUGAAUAUAUAUAAACAUAGAUAUAACUGCCGAUUUGCUAAAAAUUAGGAAGGUGGAGAACAUGGGCCAUUUAUUUAGGGUAAUUAAAAACUGAAUAAAAACCAGUGUAUCGACAACAUUACCCUUAUUUGUAGGAGCAGUUGUAUA